Molecule: ribosomal RNA, 488 nt
Filed under: uncultured bacterium
Lineage: Bacteria
Description: partial 16S ribosomal RNA
Rfam family: Bacterial small subunit ribosomal RNA
Source: RNAcentral
GACGAACGCUGGCGGCGUGCUUAACACAUGCAAGUCGAACGGAAAGGCCCUGCUUUUGUGGGGUGCUCGAGUGGCGAACGGGUGAGUAACACGUGAGUAACCUGCCCUUGACUUUGGGAUAACUUCAGGAAACUGGGGCUAAUACCGGAUAGGAGCUCCUGCUGCAUGGUGGGGGUUGGAAAGUUUCGGCGGUUGGGGAUGGACUCGCGGCUUAUCAGCUUGUUGGUGGGGUAGUGGCUUACCAAGGCUUUGACGGGUAGCCGGCCUGAGAGGGUGACCGGGGAGACUGGAAGUGAGGAACGGUCCAGGGUCAGACGGGAGGGAGCAGUGGGGGAGGGUGCGCAAGGGGCGGGGGGCUGACGGGGCGGCGCGGGGUGAGUGAGGAGGGUGGUCGGGGCGUAAAACUGGGUGAUCAGGGAAGAAAAAAGGGGGAAGUAACUGUGGGCAUCCGGACGGUAGCUGAUCAGAAAGACACGGCUAACUAGGUG